AUGAAAGGUGUUCAUUUCCUCACAAGCACUGUUACCAUAUUGGCAUUCACAAGUUUCCUUGUGUCCGCCUAUGACCCCAGUCCUCUGCAGGAUUUCUGCGUAGCAAUUAAUAACCCCCCAUCUGCUGGUAUAUAAUAGUAUAUAUAGUUCAUUUAUCUAAUAUUAGUAUUUGCACAUUAGAUACUCAUAAUGCCUUAUGAAUAUUAUGAAACUAUUUUGUUGUUAAUCAUAUGUUUUUGAAUGAGUGCAUCAUCAACUAUUUAUCCGCAUGCUAAUCGUACCAUAUUUUCUGAUCAUCUUAUGAAUCACUUCUCUAAUGGAUGUGAAUUCACAGUUAUGUGAUUCCGCCUCUAUACAAUUAAAAAAUAAGUAGUUCAAAUAACAACAUUAUUGUUCGUUUUAAUGCAUGUGACAACUAAUACUACAAAGACAAUAACCUUCUUUUUCUUUUUCUGUUUUCAUAGUACAAGCAGUGUUUGUGAAUGGGAAAUUCUGCAAGGAUCCAAAGUUCGUUACAGCAAAUGAUUUCUUCUUUUCUGGGCUUCAAAUUGCCAAAAGCACAGUAAAUCCAGUUGGUUCAACAGUGACAGCCGUGAAUGUAGACCAAAUAGCAGGAUUGAACACUCUUGGCAUUUCCCUAGCUCGCAUAGACUUCGCACCAAAUGGCCUAAACCCUCCUCAUACUCACCCUCGUGGCUCAGAAAUUCUUGUAGUCUUGGAAGGUACACUCUAUGUCGGAUUCGUCACAUCAAAUGCUGAUAAUAAUCGGCUAAUCAGCAAGGUGUUGAACAAGGGAGAUGUAUUUGUGUUCCCAAUUGGUCUCAUUCACUUCCAACUCAACGUGGGAUACGGCAACGCUGUAGCCCUUGCUGGCCUUGGCAGCCAGAACCCAGGAGUGAUCACCAUAGCCAAUGCAGUUUUUGGCUCCAAGCAUCCCAUCAACCCUGAUGUUUUAGCCAAGGCCUUCCAAGUGGACAACAAAUUGGUUGAUUAUCUUCAGAAACAGUUUUGGUACGAGAACAAU
This 1024-nucleotide long non-coding RNA is filed under the name Prunus dulcis (almond). RNAcentral's name for it is "sRNA ncRNA". Lineage: Eukaryota; Viridiplantae; Streptophyta; Magnoliopsida; Rosales; Rosaceae. The record is from RNAcentral.